GGACGUCGAAGGUGGGGCUGAUGACUGGGGUGAAGUCGUAACAAGGUAUCCGUACCGGAAGGUGCGGAUGGAUCACCUCCUAACAGGGAGACAAAACAAUGAUUUUGAUGUCUGAGUAUUUCAUUCUUAGGCCGAAAUCCUGUCACCUUAGGUCGAUCGGUACCUCAACAUUUUUUCAAAGAUUGGUGAGCAAUCAUCAAGAGAUUGGAAUAGAUGUUCAGUUCCUAAACUUUGUCUAGGUCACACCCCGCAAGGGAAGAGUCCCCUGGGCCAUUAGCUCAGGUGGUUAGAGCGCACCCCUGAUAAGGGUGAGGUCCCUGGUUCAAGUCCAGGAUGGCCCAUUCGGUGUUGGGGGUUUAGCUCAGUUGGUAGAGCGCCUGCUUUGCAAGCAGGAUGUCAGGAGUUCGAGUCUCCUAACCUCCACUGACAGAACUCAAUCUCCAUUGUCCGGUAACUCGGAGGAUGAAUUCGAUGGCGUGUGAUUUAGAUGUGUCCACUAGAUAGGACCCUAGCUUCCUGUCAUUCCGAACAAGUAAUUAUUGCUUGAUUGUUUGAUAUGAUGCUGGGCUCAGAUUAAUCGAAAGAUUAAUUUGAUUUCUAGUAGAACCUUGACAACUGCAUAAGUAAGUCUGGAAAAACGAAGCAUCUUACAGAUGCAUUGUUUUAAGUCUGAAUUCUCGAAAGAGAGUUUAGAUCUAGAAUAAUGAAAAUUCUUUUAAGCAAGAGCCGAGACUCUUAGAUGUUCUUUUUAUCGUGUCGAGCGAUAAAGAGUUUGAUUUUGUUUUUAUAAGCAAUGAAAGUUGCUGAUGAAGCCAGAAGAAUCUGCUUUCAACCGCAGUAAGCGUUUAAGAGGUUAAUUGGUCAAGCUACAAAGGGCUC
This 879-nucleotide unclassified non-coding RNA is filed under the name uncultured Synechococcus sp. Its description in RNAcentral is "partial may contain 16S ribosomal RNA, 16S-23S ribosomal RNA intergenic spacer, and 23S ribosomal RNA". The stretch from base 351 to 423 matches the Rfam family "tRNA". Lineage: Bacteria; Bacillati; Cyanobacteriota; Cyanophyceae; Synechococcales; Synechococcaceae. The record is from RNAcentral.